UGAAAUUUAUAUGUCUCACUCAGAAAAGCAACUUUAUUUACGUGUCAACCAAUGCACUGAAUUUUUGUGACUGAAUUUCUAUAGAUUCAGACCAUCGGAAAAAAGAAAACUAAGUCAUUGUCCAGGUGAGUAUCUUCGUCAAUCAUUACAGAGUCUUGAAUGAAGAGUAGUGCAAACACUUGACUAAGUGCUAUCCUGCUAUUUUUUCUAAUUCAGUAUCAAAUCAUAUAAUCAGUGAUUCCGUAAAACCAGAUACAUUUUGUUCAUGUUAGAUACUCAAUUCAAGUCCCAUGACUGCCUUUUAUAUCUGUGGUUAAUUUAUUCUAGCAGUUUUGAAGGCAGGCUAUUAACAGUAGCACUAAAACAUUAUUAAGCAGACAAGUCAUGCUACUCUGUCUUUCUGAUGCAAUCUGCAGAUCAAAGUGCUCUCUGUUUUUCUG
Molecule: long non-coding RNA, 440 nt
Filed under: Sorghum bicolor (sorghum)
Lineage: Eukaryota; Viridiplantae; Streptophyta; Magnoliopsida; Poales; Poaceae
Description: long non-coding RNA (SBIC_LNC015528)
Source: RNAcentral